GAUGAAGAACGUAGCGAAAUGCGAUAAGUAGUGUGAAUUGCAGAAUUCAGUGAAUCAUCGAAUCUUUGAACGCACAUUGCGCCCCUUGGUAUUCCAUGGGGCAUGCCUGUUCGAGCGUCAUUUGUACCUUCAAGCUUUGCUUGGUGUUGGGUGUUUGUCCUGAGGGACUCGCCUUAAAGUAAUUGGCAGCCAGUGUUUUGGUUUUGAAGCGCAGCACAAGUCGCGAUUCAAGGCUAUACGUCAGCUUCCACUAGCCUUUUUUCACUUUUGACCUCGGAUCAGGUAGGGAUACCCGCUGAACUUAAGCAUAUCAAUAAGCGGAGGA
RNAcentral lists this unclassified non-coding RNA (325 nucleotides) under soil metagenome. Its description in RNAcentral is "partial contains 5.8S ribosomal RNA, internal transcribed spacer 2, and large subunit ribosomal RNA". The stretch from base 1 to 120 matches the Rfam family "5.8S ribosomal RNA", at positions 35 to 154 of the family's 154-position model. The record is from RNAcentral.